CCCAGCUCUAAGUCAGCUGACCAGGCAGUCUGUGUCUGGCUCAGUGUUACAGUGCUGGUAGAGGAAGUCUCUGUACUUUGACUCGGAUCUGCUGGCUCUGUUUUAGAGUCUGCUGCAUCUUGAGUUGUCGCAGAGCACAGCCCAACGAGAGUGGCCUGUCCUGAUCAACAGCAGGGCAGGCCUAGUGUAGGGCCGCACAUU
RNAcentral lists this small nucleolar RNA (201 nucleotides) under Sparus aurata (gilthead seabream). RNAcentral describes it as "Small nucleolar RNA SNORA74 (ENSSAUG00010009704.1)". It matches the Rfam family "Small nucleolar RNA SNORA74". From Rfam's summary of the family: U19 belongs to the H/ACA class of snoRNAs. snoRNAs bind a number of proteins (including dyskerin, Gar1p and Nop10p in the case of the H/ACA class) to form snoRNP complexes. This class are thought to guide the sites of modification of uridines to pseudouridines by forming direct base pairing interactions with substrate RNAs. The record is from Rfam by way of RNAcentral. Lineage: Eukaryota; Metazoa; Chordata; Actinopteri; Spariformes; Sparidae.